RNAcentral lists this ribosomal RNA (432 nucleotides) under Saitis cf. mundus JXZ-2013. RNAcentral describes it as "partial 16S ribosomal RNA". The stretch from base 43 to 337 matches the Rfam family "Bacterial large subunit ribosomal RNA", at positions 2074 to 2646 of the family's 2925-position model. Lineage: Eukaryota; Metazoa; Arthropoda; Arachnida; Araneae; Salticidae. The record is from RNAcentral.
UAAUUCAAAAUUAUUUUAAAUGUAAAAAAACAUUUAUUUAAAAAAAAGACGACAAGACCCUAUAGAACUUAACUUCAGUUAAACUGGGGCAGUAAAUUAAUUAUUAUUUUAAUUUUUUUUCAACUAAAAAUAUCCAAUACAAUUGAACAAUUCAGUUACCAUAGGGAUAACAGCGCAAUUAUAUUUAUAAGUCCUUAUAUAAAAAAUAGAUUACGACCUCGAUGUUGAAUUAAUAACCUAAUUAAAGCAAAAAUUAAUAUAGGAAGUCUGUUCGACCUUUAAACAAUUACAUGAUUUGAGUUCAGACCGGUGUAAGCCAGGUCGGUUUCUAUCUUUUAAAAGAAUUUUUACAGUACGAAAGGACCUAAAAAUAUAAUAUCAUUUAUUAAUUGGCAGAUUAAUGCAUUAGAAUUAGAAUCUAAUAAAACUAAA